UGACCAUUGACUAUUAGCUGCCUCAGACUUCCGGGGUGGCACCAUCGGUAAUGGCGGAUUCCCUCUGAUCCGGAGGGACUGGCUCCACAGGAAACGGGUCUGUUCCGCUACGGUGAAGCGGGGACCCUCUAAAAAAUCACAGGCGGAUGAAGCCUGUGACCAUGGGACUUGGCGGGCACCUUUUGCGCCCCCCCCAAUUCGUAAAGGAACCCAAUUACGGGCUCCGGAGCGAAGAGGGGUUAGUGGCGCGGUGCUGAGAGUCAACUGCUUCUUCCGUGGAGUGAAGCCACACAGCCGUUGCCGGAGAGCGCUACCUUUUUCUUGGGACAAUUUGGCUACAAAACAACUACCCGUGAGCAGAUCAAAUCUGGACAAUUGGACUUUAAACAACGAUCUGUGAGUAGAACGGAAAAUUGGAUUAAGAAAUUCCUCUUAAUUUGGCACUGAAGCGGGAAGGUCUAAACAGGAAGUCAGCCUUCCGUUUCUUGUAGAUAGAAUAAAGCAAAGACAUGGCAAACUAGAGUGUAGAAAAUCGUUUGUAAAGGAUCAACUUCCAUCAUCUAAAAUUACUGAACCCCCUUCGGAAGCAGGAGAAGAGGGGGGAUUUUUUCUGGAUUGCUUAAACCUGCAGAAGAGAGUGUAAGAAAAGUAAUUUUCCACCGUCUUGAACCUGGGAGCGGGGUGUCAGGACAGACGUUUUUGGGAAAGUUCAUUGACUAUAGACAAAUGUUUUUGACAGACAGUUAAAAGAAGAGAAACAUAGUGAUUCCAUUGUGCUCUUUCGCAAUUUAAAGGAACAAAUAUUGACAAAAUAUCUGAAAAAGGAAACUUUGUUGUUAGUUCUGCUGUUAAAAAAAAAAGAAAAAGAAAAGAGUUGGAUACAAAUAGAAGUUCUUCCCCUAGAGGGAGCUUGUGAAACUGUUACUAAACUUGAACUGGGGAGCAGCUGCAACAGAUUAAGAUCGUGGGAAUAGACUUCUGACCUUGUAUAACAAUGUGCUCAGAGGCUCUGGUGCGUGCUUUCUGUAAAACAAGUGCUUUAUUGGAACAGUUACAUGAGAAGACGGAUUUGAUGACUGUUGCGAUCAGAAAUUUUGGACAGGUAGUGGGUAUCUAUAUAGAACCCACUCAGGAAUCAAAUCAGGAAUGUGCUCUGACAGAUCAGAUGAAGGAGGAGGUUGUGGCUGGACCCCGAGAGGCAGAGAUGCAGGGAACCGUGGCCCAGCACGAACAUGAGUGGUUGGACCUGACGAAUGAACCUGGAAAAAGCCAGAUUUGGAGAGAUAGAGUCUUGUUUGGUUUGGAGAUGGGGGGCUGGAUAGACCCCCCUAUGCAGGGAUGUUUUGACUUUUCAAGUCUGGCGUUGGGUCGGGAGGAGUCUGGAGUUGUGGGGGUCCUCAAUUUUGGAGGGACCUUGAAAAAUGUCUUUAAAUACCACAUGGAGUUCAGUGUGGACUAUGGAAAAGGGGCUGAUCUGUCGAGAAGGGAUAAAAAUACUGUCAAGCUGGAGUCUCCACGAGUGAAAGGAGCAGGAGACAAAGUAAAGUACAGGUAUAAAUAUGAAGAAGAUCUGCGGAAGGGACAUGGAAGAGACUUAAGGGCCUCGGACAUAAGGUUACCAGGUUAAUGAACUAGAUGGAUGGGAUAGAAAGGACUGACAAAACCCGUGACCAGGAGGAAGAGACGUUGGAUGAAGAUUGGAGAAAGUUUCAAAAAUUCUAUUUAGGAAUGUUUUUUAAAAUUAAUGAGUAUUAAAAAAGAUGUUGAAAUGAAAUUAUUUGGCUUUAGCAGAAAUGUUAAAAAGAACUAUGCAAGAAUAUGUCAUGGUUAUGAGAAAUUGGUAUAGAUAAGACUCAAGCUUUAAGUUUUAGGGUUUUUUAUAGUAAGAUAAGGUUAAAAUAGAUUAAGGUAAUUUAAUGACAGAAUAUUAUGAAAAAAUGGGAAGGAUUUGCUGUGAUAAUCAAUAACUAGAAUAUAAAAAAGGGAGGGGUGAGGAGGUCGAUGAAAUAAGGUAAUGACAGUUAAGGAUUUGGGAAUAUUGGAUCUGUUUUUAAACUUUUGUGGUUUAUUUUUGUUUUUUGAUUUUGAUGUGUUAUGUGUUUUGUUUUUUGUUUUUUGCUUUUAAUUUUUAUUGACUUGUAUUGUUUGAUUGUGGUUUGUUUUUUCCUUGCUUAUUUCUUUUCCCCCCCUUUCUUUUUGACUUUUCUGUAAUCUUAAAAUUCUUAAUAAAUAUCAUUAAAAAAAAAAAAAGACUAUUAGCUGCCUCAGGUGAUGGAAAGUGUAGUACAACAGCAUCUGAAGGUCCACCAGUUCCCCGUUCCUAUCAUAAAACACAUUGGUGUCCAUGUGUUUCCUGCCUGCUUAUAAUUGACAAGUCUGUUUAUCUGCUAAGGUGACAGUCCACACUCUGGUGUACCAAAGUGUCACUUUCUGUCCUGCUGCCACCCUGCCCGUCUCUCUGUCACUGUGUGUUUAUGAAGCCUUGAAGCAAUAAUUGCAAUGCUUAUAAUAUAAAGCUGCACUCAGUGUGAACAAUACAGGAGUUAAGGGGACCGUUAGUAACUUUCAUCUGAUAAACUGAAGACAUUGUUUAUAUGAAUGUGAAUCCAAAUAUCACAAAAUAUGUAUUUAUUUAUUUAAAAAAACAAGCAUCUAUAUGAAUUCUUCGCAUGGUUGCCAAGAAAUGAUUUGGCUUUGUACAUUGGGUUCUGGUGCUCUGCAUUGCUUGAAAUGUGUUUUGUUUUUGAGUCAGUGAUUCACGCAAGGGGAACAAAGGGAAGCCACAUUUUGCCCUGUAUAAUUACAAGCAGCCAAACAGGUCAAUAGGAUGUGCUAAUUCUUUCCCGGAGGCAAGCAACACAUUGUCUUGGUAUUGCAUCAGCACAGGCACAGCCUUCUGUCCUUUCCUUGAUACGAAUGAACUUCACAAAGAGUUACAGUGCAUCUCCACAGUGCGACAAAAUGCAAAUGAGUUGAGCUUUGCAUUUGUUCAAAUGCUGCGUUUUCAGCAAAUGCCUGCCCUUUAUGCUUUACUGAUUUUCAGCUAGGACCUCUAACAAUAGAAUAGCUCAACCACUUUCAAUUAGCUGCAUGUCAACACAUGAAGAUACUUUCACCCAUACAAGGGAUUCCUCCGCUGCUGAGAAGGAAGAUUUGAAGAGACAUCUCUGGUUGAAUGCCUUCACAAUCCUCUCUUUUAUGCAUGUUGUUUCCAGUCAUGAAAAGGACUGAAAGCACAUUUCCCUGAAUGUGCUUACAACUUCCCAUCAGACUCUCUGCUCUGUGCCCCUAUGCUUCUUCCUAUAGACUGUAUCUAAGAAUGCCCAAAGAGGGCUAAAAUGAGCCCAGAGAAUGGAGACUUCAGGCCAUAACUUCAAGUAGUUAAAAAAUAAGUGACACAAAUGUGGGAUUAAUAUUGCCAUUGGCAAGGGAACAGAUAGUGAACAUGCAUAUGUACCUGUGUACACAGAUGCCUUACCCAUGUAAGGAUAUGCCUUGCUGGAAUAGGAAACUUGUGUUUCUCUGUAUUUCUUGCACUCUGUGCAAAUCCACAAGGAUAAUGCUAUAAAUCAACAUUGCCUGUAGAGUUGCUUUGGAUAGCAUUAGGGUCAAUGUCAUCCUGUCCAGAAUCUAUUUGUUGCAAUGAUAGCUUACAUACAUCUUAUCGCCUCUCUCCUUUCGUAGGUGUUGUCUCACAAAUUAGAUCUGCAAGGCUAUUUAUGGAGAGCACAAUAACCAAGGAAGAAGAAUUCAUAAGAACAAGGAGAGUUCAACACAGAAAAAAAGAAAGAGGAGGCAACUGUUCAGGAAAAUGUGGAACCCAACUACAAUAUAUAGAAUGAACCAUCUGAUAUCACAGAUGUUUCCUCCAAAAAAUAAUGGUGUCAUUGAUUCCAACAGGAUUACCGGGACCCAUCAGAUAAAGGCAAAGUGGU
Molecule: non-coding RNA, 3935 nt
Organism: Podarcis lilfordi (Lilford's wall lizard)
Lineage: Eukaryota; Metazoa; Chordata; Lepidosauria; Squamata; Lacertidae
Source: the annotation of a GenBank genome assembly